This 438-nucleotide ribosomal RNA is filed under the name uncultured bacterium. RNAcentral's name for it is "bacterial SSU rRNA". It matches the Rfam family "Bacterial small subunit ribosomal RNA", at positions 954 to 1392 of the family's 1533-position model. The record is from RNAcentral.
GCAAAACGCGAAGAACCUUACCCACCUUUGACAUGUACGGAAUCCUUUAGAGAUAGAGGAGUGCUCGAAAGAGAGCCGUAACACAGGUGCUGCAUGGCUGUCGUCAGCUCGUGUCGUGAGAUGUUGGGUUAAGUCCCGCAACGAGCGCAACCCUUGCCAUUAGUUGCUACAUUUAGUUGAGCACUCUAAUGGGACUGCCGGUGACAAACCGGAGGAAGGUGGGGAUGACGUCAAGUCCUCAUGGCCCUUAUAGGUGGGGCUACACACGUCAUACAAUGGCUGGUACAAAGGGUUGCCAACCCGCGAGGGGGAGCUAAUCCCAUAAAGCCAGUCGUAGUCCGGAUCGCAGUCUGCAACUCGACUGCGUGAAGUCGGAAUCGCUAGUAAUCGUGGACCAGAAUGUCACGGUGAAUACGUUCCCGGGUCUUGUACACACCG